CUAAGAAUAUUCCGCCAUGGACGGAAGUCUGACGGAGCGACGCCGCGUGGAUGAAGAAGGCCGAAAGGUUGUAAAGUUCUUUUGCUAGGGGAGGAUAAGUGUGGGAGGGAGUGCCUGCACGAUGACAAGGACGAGCGAAUAAGUCCCGGUCAACUACGUGCCAGCAGCCGCGGUAACACGUAGGGGGCGAGCGUUGUUCGGAAUUACUGGGCGUAAAGGGCAUGUAGGCGGCUUGGUAAGCCUGGCGUGAAAGUCUGCAGCUUAACUGUAGGGAUGCGUUGGGAACUGCUUAGCUUGAGUUACGGAGAGGGAGCUGGAAUUCCUGGUGUAGGGGUGAAAUCUGUAGAUAUCAGGAAGAACACCGAUGGCGAAGGCUAGCUUCUGGCCGACAACUGACGCUGAGGUGCGAAAGUGUGGGGAUCAAACAGG
RNAcentral lists this ribosomal RNA (429 nucleotides) under uncultured prokaryote. Its description in RNAcentral is "bacterial SSU rRNA". It matches the Rfam family "Bacterial small subunit ribosomal RNA", at positions 355 to 776 of the family's 1533-position model. The record is from RNAcentral. RNAcentral also lists the same sequence under 1 other name.